UUUGUAGUAGAAUGAAUGCGCUUGGAUCAUAUUAUAACAGUUAAAAAUUACUUGCUCACGCAUGGAGGCUUAAGCAUCGUUUACAGUAGAAUGAAAGUAACACGCCCUUUCUGAAAAGGUUUGAAGGAUGCCCUAAGGAAAACAAUUGAUUUAAUUGGUUGGGUUAAUUUUAGUACGAAGAUAAAUAUCAGACCCUUGGCUAGGUACAUUCAACAAUCCGAAUACUUGGGAGUUG
Molecule: long non-coding RNA, 235 nt
Filed under: Lathyrus oleraceus (garden pea)
Lineage: Eukaryota; Viridiplantae; Streptophyta; Magnoliopsida; Fabales; Fabaceae
Description: Pisum sativum (pea) long non-coding RNA (PSAT_LNC001844)
Source: RNAcentral